AGUUUGAUCCUGGCUCAGGAUGAACGCUGGCGGUCUGCUUAACACAUGCAAGUCGAACGGAGUCCUUCGGGAUUUAGUGGCGGACGGGUGAGUAACGCGUGAGAAUCUGCCCUUAGGUUGGGGACAACAGUUGGAAACGACUGCUAAUACCCAAUGUGCCGAGAGGUGAAAGGUUAACUGCCUGGGGAUGAGCUCGCGUCUGAUUAGCUAGUUGGAGUGGUAACGGCACACCAAGGCGACGAUCAGUAGCUGGUCUGAGAGGAUGAUCAGCCACACUGGGACUGAGACACGGCCCAGACUCCUACGGGAGGCAGCAGUGGGGAAUUUUCCGCAAUGGGCGAAAGCCUGACGGAGCAAGACCGCGUGAGGGAGGAAGGCCUAUUGGUUGUAAACCUCUUUUGAUAGGGAAGAACACAAUGACGGUACCUAUCGAAUCAGCAUCGGCUAACUCCGUGCCAGCAGCCGCGGUAAUACGGAGGAUGCAAGCGUUAUCCGGAUUUAUUGGGCGUAAAGCGUCCGUAGGUGGCAAACCAAGUCAGUUGUUAAAGCGUAGAGCUUAACUCUAUAAGGGCAAUUGAAACUGGUUAGCUAGAGUGCGAUAGGGGCAAGGGGAAUUCCCAGUGUAGCGGUGAAAUGCGUAGAUAUUGGGAAGAACAUCGGUGGCGAAGGCGCCUUGCUGGGUCUGCACUGACACUGAGGGACGAAAGCUAGGGGAGCGAAAGGGAUUAGAUACCCCUGUAGU
This 742-nucleotide ribosomal RNA is filed under the name cyanobacterium enrichment culture clone 5_16_5.1.7_F11-T7. RNAcentral's name for it is "bacterial SSU rRNA". It matches the Rfam family "Bacterial small subunit ribosomal RNA", at positions 10 to 794 of the family's 1533-position model. The record is from RNAcentral. Lineage: Bacteria; Bacillati; Cyanobacteriota.